AGUGAACGCUGGCGGUAGGCCUAACACAUGCAAGUCGAACGGCAGCACAGUAAGAGCUUGCUCUUACGGGUGGCGAGUGGCGGACGGGUGAGGAAUACAUCGGAAUCUACUUUUUCGUGGGGGAUAACGUAGGGAAACUUACGCUAAUACCGCAUACGACCUACGGGUGAAAGCAGGGGAUCUUCGGACCUUGCGCGAUUGAAUGAGCCGAUGUCGGAUUAGCUAGUUGGCGGGGUAAAGUCCCACCAAGGCGACGAUCCGUAGCUGGUCUGAGAGGAUGAUCAGCCACACUGGACCUGAGACACGGUCCAGACUCCUACGGGAGGCAGCAGUGGGGAAUAUUGGACAAUGGGCGCAAGCCUGAUCCAGCCAUACCGCGUGGGUGAAGAAGGCCUUCGGGUUGUAAAGCCCUUUUGUUGGGAAAGAAAAGCAGCAGGUUAAUACCCCGCUGUUCUGACGGUACCCAAAGAAUAAGCACCGGCUAACUUCGU
This 491-nucleotide ribosomal RNA is filed under the name uncultured bacterium. RNAcentral describes it as "partial 16S ribosomal RNA". It matches the Rfam family "Bacterial small subunit ribosomal RNA", at positions 29 to 506 of the family's 1533-position model. The record is from RNAcentral.